RNAcentral lists this ribosomal RNA (253 nucleotides) under uncultured bacterium. RNAcentral describes it as "partial 16S ribosomal RNA". It matches the Rfam family "Bacterial small subunit ribosomal RNA", at positions 524 to 776 of the family's 1533-position model. The record is from RNAcentral.
UACGAGUGCCCCGAGCGUUAUCCGGAUUUAUUGGGUUUAAAGGGUGCGUAGGCGGCCUAUUAAGUCAGGGGUGAAAGACGGUAGCUUAACUAUCGCAGUGCCCUUGAUACUGAUGGGCUUGAAUAUACUAGAGGUAGGCGGAAUGUGACAAGUAGCGGUGAAAUGCAUAGAUAUGUCACAGAACACCAAUUGCGAAGGCAGCUUACUAUGGUAUUAUUGACGCUGAGGCACGAAAGCGUGGGGAUCAAACAGG